Molecule: ribosomal RNA, 128 nt
Filed under: Escherichia coli
Lineage: Bacteria; Pseudomonadati; Pseudomonadota; Gammaproteobacteria; Enterobacterales; Enterobacteriaceae
Description: partial 23S ribosomal RNA
Rfam family: Bacterial large subunit ribosomal RNA (bases 1-111)
Source: RNAcentral
UCUUUAAGGGUCCUGAAGGAACGUUGAAGACGACGACGUUGAUAGGCCGGGUGUGUAAGCGCAGCGAUGCGUUGAGCUAACCGGUACUAAUGAACCGUGAGGCUUAACCUUACAACGCCGAAGCUGUU